RNAcentral lists this non-coding RNA (280 nucleotides) under Eucalyptus grandis. Its description in RNAcentral is "Bacterial small subunit ribosomal RNA". It matches the Rfam family "Bacterial small subunit ribosomal RNA", at positions 656 to 1438 of the family's 1533-position model. Lineage: Eukaryota; Viridiplantae; Streptophyta; Magnoliopsida; Myrtales; Myrtaceae. The record is from Rfam by way of RNAcentral.
UCUCAGUAGGAUUCGAACCCAGAUGAAGUUCUGACCAUCUGUCAGAGAAAAAAGAAAGAAUGGAUCUUGUAGGAUAAGCUAGGGGAGCGAAUGUGAUUAGAUACCCCAGUAGUCCUAGCCGUAAACGAUUAAUACUAGGCGAUGUGCGUAUCGACCCGUGCAGUGCUGUAGUUAACGCGUUAAGUAUCCCGCUUGGGGAGUACGUUCGCAAGAAUGAAACUCAAAGGAACUCAGCCUACGGGGUAUUAGCAGCCGUUUCCAGCUGUUGUUCCCCUCCCAA